Molecule: unclassified non-coding RNA, 226 nt
Filed under: Hevea brasiliensis (rubber tree)
Lineage: Eukaryota; Viridiplantae; Streptophyta; Magnoliopsida; Malpighiales; Euphorbiaceae
Source: RNAcentral
GUAAGUUGCACUCAAGUGGAGAUCAAGAUGAUGGGGAUGUAGAUGGGAAUGAUGCUCCCAGUCAUGCUCUUCUGGGAGGUGAUCGAGUUUCUCAUAGACUGAUUCAAGCGCCUGCUACAUGGCUUGAAACUAUAUCAACAUUAUCUGAGACCUUAAGGUUUACAUACUCGGAGACUCUUGGAAAGUGGCCCAUUGGGGAUUUGGCAUUUGGAAUUAAUUUUCUCUU